GACGAACGCUGGCGGCGUGCUUAACACAUGCAAGUCGAACGAUGAACCCGGAGCUUGCUCCGGUGGAUUAGUGGCGAACGGGUGAGUAACACGUGAGUAACCUGCCCUUGACUCUGGGAUAACUGCGGGAAACUGUAGCUAAUACCGGAUACGACCCUCGGCGGCAUCGCCAGGGGGUGGAAAGAAUUUCGGUCAAGGAUGGACUCGCGGCCCAUCAGCUAGUUGGGGAGGUAACGGCUCACCAAGGCGACGACGGGUAGCCGGCCUGGGAGGGUGACCGGCCACACUGGAACUGAGCAACGGCCCAAACUCCGACGGGAGGAAGCAGGGGGGAAUAUUGGACGAUGGGCGCAAGCCUGAUGCAGCAUCGCCGCGUGAGGGAUGACGACCUUCGGGUUGUAAAGCUCUUUUACCCGGGACGUUAAUGACUGUACCGGGAGAAUAAGCCCCGGCUAACUUCGUGCCAGCCGCCGCCGUAA
Molecule: ribosomal RNA, 479 nt
Filed under: uncultured bacterium
Lineage: Bacteria
Description: partial 16S ribosomal RNA
Rfam family: Bacterial small subunit ribosomal RNA
Source: RNAcentral